GAUGAACGCUGGCGGUAUGCUUAACACAUGCAAGUCGAACGGACUCUUCGGAGUUAGUGGCGGACGGGUGAGUAACGCGUGAGAAUCUGGCUUUGGGUUCGGGACAACCACUGGAAACGGUGGCUAAUACCGGAUGUGCCGAGAGGUAAAAGAGAAAUUGCCUGAAGAUGAGCUCGCGUCUGAUUAGCUAGUUGGUGAGGUAAAGGCUCACCAAGGCAGCGAUCAGUAGCUGGUCUGAGAGGAUGACCAGCCACACUGGGACUGAGACACGGCCCAGACUCCUACGGGAGGAAGCAGGGGGGAAUUUUCCGCAAUGGGCGAAAGCCUGACGGAGCAAUACCGCGUGAGGGAAGAAGGCUCUUGGGUUGUAAACCUCUUUUCUUAGGGAAGAACAAAAUGACGGUACCUAAGGAAUCAGCAUCGGCUAACUCCGUG
Molecule: ribosomal RNA, 435 nt
Filed under: uncultured bacterium
Lineage: Bacteria
Description: partial 16S ribosomal RNA
Rfam family: Bacterial small subunit ribosomal RNA
Source: RNAcentral